RNAcentral lists this long non-coding RNA (2614 nucleotides) under Panax ginseng (ginseng). Its description in RNAcentral is "long non-coding RNA (PGIN_LNC017235)". The record is from RNAcentral. Lineage: Eukaryota; Viridiplantae; Streptophyta; Magnoliopsida; Apiales; Araliaceae.
CAUUUCUCUUAGAUAAUACUGAUAGAAUGGAUGAUAAAUGGUACAGAGCAACUUCUGUUACGCAAAUUGAUAUGACAAUUAAUUCAUCUAUAUAUUAUCACCUUGUUGUAAAAAUCUACAAUUUCCAACUAAAAGAAAUAAGAACAAACGGCAUUUCACUGCGAAAUGAUUGUAUAAAACAGUUGCUGUUAGCCGACUGAUUCUCUCUGGUUGUAGUUUUAUCCGCAUUGCCAUGCCAGCUUCAGUACUCGAACUUGAUAUUGAAUCCCCUUCCUUUAAAAGUCACUUUUACCAAUAAGCCAUAACCAAUCAAGAGAUACACCUGCAAAUAUGCCGCCUAAAAGAAAUAACACUAGCAAAUUACCCAAUGCAUUUUGCUCCGGACCCUGAAAAUGAACACCCUUUAUAUUAAUUUUUAUGAAUAGAUGAAUUCAUAUGGAUUAAUUCACAGGUUAACACACCGCACACCUUGUAGCCUUUUGGAGCUACUGUCAUGACACAUACGGUUAGGUAACCAUUCGAUAAUCCCAAGAAAGAUACGAGCAAUAUCAUCCACCCCUGAUCACCGUAUUUUGCAGUGAAAUAAAAUGCAGGAAUGAGUAAGAAACGGGAUAAUNNNNNNNNNNNNNNNNNNNNNNNNNNNNNNNNNNNNNNNNNNNNNNNNNNNNNNNNNNNNNNNNNNNNNNNNNNNNNNNNNNNNNNNNNNNNNNNNNNNNGCAUUUUCAAAGUUUCUUUAAAACCUGCACGCAUUUCAUGCAUUAAUAUCAUUAAAUUUUCUUAUUGGUUGUUAUAUGCAAUAUUUGUUUGUUCCAAAAUUGACUACUAGUACUACUUAUUCCGUUAGCAUCCAUUUAGAAAGUCUAGUGUAUGCAAGAUGAAGGAAAAUAAAAAGAGCUGCACAUUACAUUUUAAUGCAGGAGUUUGUCCAUGGUCUGGAACAGAAUUGGCCAGUCCAACAAAAAUGAAUUAUAAAUAAUGCAAAGUUUUGAUCUCAAAUUGUUGCAGCAACAAAAUUUGAUCUACUUGGAGUCCUUAUUCUUGUGGUGUAGAGCAGAAUUGGUGCAUGUUAUAUGGGCAAGUUUAACUGAUCCUUGUAACGAUAGGCCCAAAAAGCUGAUGGACAUGGCCCCUUGAUCGGAGGUCUGUUUACUUUGCUGUAGCUUAGGCCUUAGAUGUAUGGUUUUCACAUGUUACCUCCCUUUUUCUGAUUUGUAACUUAUUUUUAUUAGCCAAAUGGUGUUCUGCUUCUAAAAAUUUCGACUCUUUUUUUUGGGGUGGAGGUGGAACCCUUUAGAGUAGGAUAAAAAGCCAGUCAUCCAAUAUAUGCUACUCUGAUACACCACAGACCAAACAAAUUUAUCAGCAGCUCUAUUCACUUCCCUUCCCUACAUACAUGCGCGGCAGUACUGUUUUUUGAGCGCAGUUAUGAUUGAAUUUAUAUGCCAACUUUUGCACAUUUAACAUCUCUUUUUUGUGAGAUAAUUUUAAUUAGUCACUUAAAAGUAUCCCUCAAGCCAUAUAUCAGUACAUCCAUUUUAGCUCUCCACGUUCAGCAACUGAACAAUUGGUUAUUCCAAUGGAUUUCUGCAUUUCCAAGUUAAAAAUAUAUCAGCCUUGUCAUUCAUUAGGACACCUAUGGUUGCCUCUCCUGCAGUUCCUAAAUAAAAGUAGAACUGAGCUUUGUGUUAAUCUUUGACAUCAAUGUUUUCUCUGGAGAAAAUUCAUUCUUAGUUGUUGAUGAUUUACCUAAAUUUUCUUAUUAACUAAAAUUAGGUAGUUAAUCAAAGAAUUGAUAAGCCAGGGCUGAUUGUGGAGGACAAGUUGCCUCUGCAUCAAGUUUUACUCUCUCUCUCUCUCUCUCUCUCUCUCUCUCUCUCUCUCUAUAUAUAUAUAUAUAUAUAUAUAUAUAUAUAUAUAUAUACCAUUAUAAUGAGUACCAUUUUCUUAAUUUGUUAAGAAGUUGGUAUUUUUUUAACAUUUCAUUAUAUUGCACAUAAUGAGCUAUAUAUGCAUUUCUCUUAGAUAAUACUGAUAGAAUGGAUGAUAAAUGGUACAGAGCAACUUCUGUUACGCAAAUUGAUAUGACAAUUAAUUCAUCUAUAUAUUAUCACCUUGUUGUAAAAAUCUACAAUUUCCAACUAAAAGAAAUAAGAACAAACGGCAUUUCACUGCGAAAUGAUUGUAUAAAACAGUUGCUGUUAGCCGACUGAUUCUCUCUGGUUGUAGUUUUAUCCGCAUUGCCAUGCCAGCUUCAGUACUCGAACUUGAUAUUGAAUCCCCUUCCUUUAAAAGUCACUUUUACCAAUAAGCCAUAACCAAUCAAGAGAUACACCUGCAAAUAUGCCGCCUAAAAGAAAUAACACUAGCAAAUUACCCAAUGCAUUUUGCUCCGGACCCUGAAAAUGAACACCCUUUAUAUUAAUUUUUAUGAAUAGAUGAAUUCAUAUGGAUUAAUUCACAGGUUAACACACCGCACACCUUGUAGCCUUUUGGAGCUACUGUCAUGACACAUACGGUUAGGUAACCAUUCGAUAAUCCCAAGAAAGAUACGAGCAAUAUCAUCCACCCCUGAUCACCGUAUUUUGCAGUGAAAUAAAAUGCAGGAAUGAGUAAG